GGGCUCGUAGCUCAGCUUGGAUAGAGCAUCUAACCCCACGGUGUGCAAGCCUUCUAAACGAUAGAAGAUAGCAGGGGGUCGCGGGUUCGAAUCCCGUCGGGCCCA
RNAcentral lists this transfer RNA (105 nucleotides) under archaeon GW2011_AR5. Its description in RNAcentral is "tRNA-Val". It matches the Rfam family "tRNA". Rfam says of the family: Transfer RNA (tRNA) molecules are approximately 80 nucleotides in length. Their secondary structure includes four short double-helical elements and three loops (D, anti-codon, and T loops). The record is from RNAcentral.